This 699-nucleotide long non-coding RNA is filed under the name Zonotrichia albicollis (white-throated sparrow). RNAcentral's name for it is "lncRNA (ENSZALG00000001931.1)". The record is from RNAcentral. Lineage: Eukaryota; Metazoa; Chordata; Aves; Passeriformes; Passerellidae.
GCACAUCGUGCGCGGCGAGCACAAGAUAUGAGGUGGGAAAAGCGCCCCUUUGCUGCCUCGGAUUUCCUGAUUUUACCCCGAUUUUACCCCGAUUUCCACCUCUGAAAUUGUGCUCGGGUACACGAGAUGUGAGGUGGGAAAACUCCCCCUUUUCCUGCCUCAAAUUUCCUGAUUUUACCCCGAUUUUCACCUCUGAAAUUGUGCUCAGGAUACACAAAAUGUGAGGUGGGAAAAAUUCCCUUUCCUACCUCAAAUUUCCAGAUUUCAUCCCAAUUUUCCCCUCCAAAAAUGCAAAAUGUGAGGUGGAAAAAAUUCCCUUUCCUACCUCAAAUUUCCCGAUUUCAUCCCAAUUUUCCCCUCCCAAACACAAAAUGCGAGGUUGCAAAACUUCCCCACCUCAAUUUCCUCUUUUUUCCCUGAUUUUUUCCUCCCAUUUCCCCUCAAAUUUCCCCUUCUAUAUUGUGCACACCGAGCACAAAAUGUGAGGUUGGAAAAAUCCCUCCCCAAACCUCAAAUUCCCAUUUUUUUCCCCAAUUUUCCCCUCCAAAAUCCUGAGCAAAAUGUGAGAUUGGAAAAAAUUUUCCCUGCCUCAAAUUCCCAUUUUUUCCCCUCCAAAAUCCUGAACAAAAUGUGAGAUUGGAAAAAAUUUUCCCUGCCUCAAAUUCCCAUUUUUUUCCCCUCCAAAAUCCUGAGCAAAAU